This 1548-nucleotide long non-coding RNA is filed under the name Triticum aestivum (bread wheat). RNAcentral's name for it is "long non-coding RNA (TAES_LNC017823)". The stretch from base 579 to 665 matches the Rfam family "MIR1120/MIR1122 microRNA precursor family". The record is from RNAcentral. Lineage: Eukaryota; Viridiplantae; Streptophyta; Magnoliopsida; Poales; Poaceae.
UCUGCUGCGAAGGGAGAUGGCCGGGAAGGGAGGCAAGGGGCUGCUUGCGGCGAAGACGACGGCGGCCAAGGGCGCCGCCGACAAGGACAAGGACAAGAAGAAGGCGCCUGUGUCCCGCUCGUCCCGUGCCGGGAUUCAGGUUUGCCCGCUCCCCAAUUCCCCCUCUUUCCUGUAGCUAUUUUGUGGACCGUUCUCGCGGGUGAAUUGUUAGAUCUCCAAGUGUUUCCUGCCGCGGAUCUGGUGCCAUGCUGCACCUUAUGUUUGUACGAGAUUUGUUGUAGAAUCUUAUUGUGCUCCGUUGUCAGUAUUGAUUAUCGAUUUGUAGUAAUGAUUAUCGGUUAGCUGGUUCGUUUAGGUUGUCUCCCCCAUCCUAGUCGGAGUUUGUUUGUUAUGUUGUAAACUAUGCCAGAUCUAUGUUUUGCACUCCUGCAAUGUUAUGACAGUAUACUGAUUGCAGGCUUCAGUGCCAUGCACUGGCAAAAGUACCGUAUUUUAUUGAUCUAUUAACUUGUAGCUGUACCUUUUGAAUUCUACCCACACUUGUACUGUACUAUUGUGGGAUCCGUUUAUGAUUUUUUCUACUCCCUCCGUCCCAUAAUAUAAGAUCGUUUUUUACACUAGUGUAGUGUAAAAAAUGCUCUUCUAUUAUGGGACGGAGGGAGUAUAUAAUAAUAACAUUGCUGGAGACAGGCAUGCGUUUUUGUGAUGCAAGCAUUGCUCUCUGCUUGGUUACUUGCACCAUUCAAGGGGAUGUACUCUUCCAUGUUAUCAACUUAAUACUGAUACUUGUUCUGUAUCUGGCACAGAUAAUAUGUGUUUGAUCUAAGUUUCAGCUUGGGACAUCCAUUAUCAGAAUUGAUGUAUUUACUGUUCAUAUCUUUUGCAUGUUUAAAUUGUGACCUCAUCAAUUACCGAUCAUGACCUGCUCGUGUGUUUGCACUAUGCAGUUCCCGGUGGGCCGUAUACACAGGCAGCUCAAGCAGAGGGUCUCGGCUAAUGGCCGUGUGGGUGCCACUGCCGCUGUGUACUCUGCAGCAAUCCUUGAGUACCUCACUGCCGAGGUCCUUGAGCUGGCCGGCAACGCCAGCAAGGAUCUCAAGGUGAAGCGUAUCACCCCUCGCCACCUGCAGCUCGCGAUCCGUGGAGACGAGGAGCUGGACACCCUCAUCAAGGGCACCAUCGCUGGUGGUGGUGUCAUCCCUCACAUCCACAAGUCCCUCAUCAACAAGACCUCCAAGGAGUGAAUGAAACGCAAUAACGGGUAGUUGUGCUUUGUAUCUUCGUGAUCCCUUGUUAUGUUGUGCUAUCUGUGAUGUGUUGCUAUUAUCACAACCUGAAUAGGUUGUCUGAAUUUGUGAUGGGGCUAGCUUUCGGUAACUUGUUAUUAGGGAAAGACUUGGCAAAUGUAAUCGUGAUAUGGAACCACUUAUAUUUGGUUUCCUGAAGACCAGACAAUCCUUACUAUUCGUCUUCAUGGAUAUCCAGGUUUAACUUUCUUUUAUUUUUGUUGGUUUCGCUCAAGAUCACUGCAACUGGAGUGCCUGCCGG